Molecule: ribosomal RNA, 491 nt
Filed under: uncultured bacterium
Lineage: Bacteria
Description: partial 16S ribosomal RNA
Rfam family: Bacterial small subunit ribosomal RNA
Source: RNAcentral
GUGAACGCUGGCGGUAGGCCUAACACAUGCCAGUCGAACGGCAGCACAGUAAGAGCUUGCUCUUACGGGUGGCGAGUGGCGGACGGGUGAGGAAUACAUCGGAAUCUACUUUUUCGUGGGGGAUAACGUAGGGAAACUUACGCUAAUACCGCAUACGACCUACGGGUAAAAGCAGGGGAUCUUCGGACCUUGCGCGAUUGAAUGAGCCGAUGUCGGAUUAGCUAGUUGGCGGGGUAAAGGCCCACCAAGGCGACGAUCCGUAGCUGGUCUGAGAGGAUGAUCAGCCACACUGGAACUGAGACACGGUCCAGACUCCUACGGGAGGCAGCAGUGGGGAAUAUUGGACAAUGGGCGCAAGCCUGAUCCAGCCAUACCGCGUGGGUGAAGAAGGCCUUCGGGUUGUAAAGCCCUUUUGUUGGGAAAGAAAAGCAGCAGGUUAAUACCCCGCUGUUCUGACGGUACCCAAAGAAUAAGCACCGGCUAACUUCGUG